CCUUACCAGGGACGUAUUUCUCACCCCACACUUAAAAUCAUGCAAUGCCCGCAGUGCAUAUAGAUGGAAAAAUUAAAAACAGGUAAAUCAAGAAAUACUCCUUGGGGCCCCUCUAGGGCCUAGCUAGCAACAUAACCUCAACAUUAAGGGUCGGCACGACCCCACACUUAAGCUCAAACAUGCUCCUCAGCUUUCAACUUCGGGUACUCAGAUUUCCCCUAAUCUGCAAAACAAAAACAAAACAUAACACUAUAUUAAAAAAAAAAAAUACAAGCUGGGUUGCCUCCUAACAAUCGCUUGAUUUAACGUCGCAAAGACGAUGUGAAUCAACUUUUUCCUCCACCUCGAACUUACGAAUUGUACCCCUAAUUUUGCAUCAAAUUUUCUAUCACGCUUCUGGGGUGGUGGUGUGAAAAUAAAGGAAUCAAGCAAUAGGUGUCGCAUCUUGCACUUCUUGAACCUUAAGUGAGGAAGUUCUUCGAGGAAUGGGCAAUGAUGCGAAUGGAAAUGGAGAUUUGAAUGUGUGCUUGCAGAAGGAAUACCUUAGUUAAAUGGAGCCUAGUAAAUAAAGUCUUUAGUGCUACAGUUUAGCCCAACUUUUCUUUAUGUUUCAAGUUCUAUUUAUUAAGUAUUAGUCCGUUAGAUGUAUUCUAGAUGUCUUAUUCAGUCCCUGCCAGUCUGUUAGGAAUUAUGGACAGGUGGAAGAAUAUAGUAGGAAUGUUAGAUAGUGGUGCACAAUGAAUAGCUAUAAUCGUCCUUCAUUCCAUAAUCAAUUUCAGAAAUGACCAAUUUUGGAUUGUUUA
Long non-coding RNA from Lycium ferocissimum, 803 nucleotides. RefSeq lists it as uncharacterized. The transcript is spliced from 2 exons. NCBI's taxonomy places the organism in Eukaryota, Viridiplantae, Streptophyta, Magnoliopsida, Solanales, Solanaceae. The record is from RefSeq and is a predicted model, not a curated record.